AAGAUUCAGCUCACUCUUCCGGAA
Molecule: non-coding RNA, 24 nt
Filed under: Arabidopsis thaliana (thale cress)
Lineage: Eukaryota; Viridiplantae; Streptophyta; Magnoliopsida; Brassicales; Brassicaceae
Source: RNAcentral